Molecule: ribosomal RNA, 500 nt
Filed under: uncultured bacterium
Lineage: Bacteria
Description: bacterial SSU rRNA
Rfam family: Bacterial small subunit ribosomal RNA
Source: RNAcentral
AUGUAACCUACCCUGUACAGGGGGAUAGCCCGGAGAAAUUCGGAUUAAUACCCCAUAAAGAUAUUGAGGGGCAUCUUUUAAUAUUUAAAGUUUCGACGGUACGGGAUGGGCAUGCGUAACAUUAGCUGGUUGGUAGGGUAACGGCCUACCAAGGCGACGAUGUUUAGGGGUCCUGAGAGGGUGAUCCCCCACACUGGUACUGAGACACGGACCAGACUCCUACGGGAGGCAGCAGUGAGGAAUAUUGGUCAAUGGGCGUAAGCCUGAACCAGCCAUCCCGCGUGAAGGAAGAAGGCGCUAUGCGUUGUAAACUUCUUUUCCAGAGGAAUAAAAUUUUGUACGAGUACGGAACUGAAGGUACUCUGGGAAUAAGCAUCGGCUAACUCCGUGCCAGCAGCCGCGGUAAUACGGAGGAUGCGAGCGUUAUCCGGAUUUAUUGGGUUUAAAGGGUGCGUAGGCGGAUUAAUAAGUCAGUGGUGAAAACCUGCAGCUUAACUGUA